AGGGUUUGAUUAUGGCUCAGAACGAACGCUGGCGGCAUGCCUAACACAUGCAAGUCGAACGCUAUUUAUAGAGUGGCGCACGGGCGAGUAACGCGUGGGAACCUGCCUUUUUCUGCGGGAUAACGGUUGGAAACGACCGCUAAUACCGCAUACGCCCUACAGGGGAAAGGUCCGCCGGAAAAAGAGGGGCCCGCGUCUGAUUAGCUUGUUGGUAAGGUAAUGGCUUACCAAGGCGACGAUCAGUAGCUGGUCUGAGAGGAUGAUCAGCCACACUGGGACUGAGACACGGCCCAGACUCCUACGGGAGGCAGCAGUGGGGAAUAUUGGACAAUGGGGGCAACCCUGAUCCAGCAAUGCCGCGUGUGUGAUGAAGGCCUUAGGGUUGUAAAGCACUUUCACUGGUGAAGAUGAUGACGGUAACCAGAGAAGAAGCCCCGGCUAACUUCGUGCCAGCCGCCGCGGUAAUACA
This 469-nucleotide ribosomal RNA is filed under the name uncultured bacterium. RNAcentral's name for it is "bacterial SSU rRNA". It matches the Rfam family "Bacterial small subunit ribosomal RNA", at positions 8 to 527 of the family's 1533-position model. The record is from RNAcentral.